UACGGAGGGGGCUAGCGUUGUUCGGAAUUACUGGGCGUAAAGCGCACGUAGGCGGACUGUUAAGUCGGGGGGUGAAAUCCUGGGGGCUCAACCUCAGAAUUGCCUCCGAUACUGGCAGUCUCGAGUGCGGGAGAGGUGAGUGGAAUUCCCAGUGUAGAGGUGAAAUUCGUAGAUAUCAGGAGGAACACCGAUGGCGAAGGCAGGUCACUGGG
This 212-nucleotide ribosomal RNA is filed under the name uncultured bacterium. RNAcentral's name for it is "partial 16S ribosomal RNA". It matches the Rfam family "Bacterial small subunit ribosomal RNA", at positions 524 to 733 of the family's 1533-position model. The record is from RNAcentral.